This 874-nucleotide unclassified non-coding RNA is filed under the name Hevea brasiliensis (rubber tree). The record is from RNAcentral. Lineage: Eukaryota; Viridiplantae; Streptophyta; Magnoliopsida; Malpighiales; Euphorbiaceae.
CUGAGCGGCUCUCCCCUUGAAGCGGAAGAGUGAGGGAACCAGCAUAUUUUUCAGUCCUAAAAUGACGUCGUUUGCGUUGUGCCCUCCGAUUUCCGUGCUAGGCUGUUCUUCCUCUAUCUCUCGGGUUUCCUUCCCAACUCGGCUAAACUCGCAUUUUCAUAAAAGCUAUUGUAAAUUUCAAGUCAAGUGCAGCUAUGCAGAGCCAAAUUUAAAGGAUGAUUACAAAUCUGCUGCAAUUGAUGUUGUUGCUGAUAUAAAGACUGAAAGGGUUGUAGUCCUAGGAGGAAAUGGGUUUGUUGGUUCUGCGAUAUGCAAGGCUGCUGUGUCUAAGGGUAUAGAGGUUAUAAGCCUAAACAGGUCAGGACGCCCGACUUACCCUGAUUCAUGGGUAGAUCAGGUUACUUGGAUAUCAGGAGAUGUUUUCUAUGCAAACUGGGAUGAAGUUCUAGUUGGGGCCACUGCUGUGGUUUCAACCCUUGGAGGUUUAGGCAGUGAAGAACAGAUGCUGAGGAUUAAUGGUGAGGCUAAUGUUGCUGCAGUGAAUGCUGCAAAGGAAUUUGGAAUUCCUAAGUUUAUCUUGAUAUCAGUGCAUGACUACAAUCUACCAUCAUUUUUACUCUCUUCUGGAUACUUCACAGGAAAGAGGAAAGCAGAGUCAGAGGUUCUUUCCAAAUAUCCAAACUCUGGUGUGGUGUUAAGACCUGGUUUCAUCUAUGGAAAAAGGAGAGUUGAUGGUUUUGAGAUUCCCUUGGAUUUAGUUGGGCAGCCAUUGGAGAGAAUUCUUCGAGCUACUGAGAACUUCACCAAGGCAUUUAGUUCUCUACCAGCGUCUGAUCUCCUCUUGGCACCACCAGUUAAUGUUGAUGAUGUCGCA